This 364-nucleotide long non-coding RNA is filed under the name Carica papaya (papaya). RNAcentral's name for it is "long non-coding RNA (CPAP_LNC000222)". Lineage: Eukaryota; Viridiplantae; Streptophyta; Magnoliopsida; Brassicales; Caricaceae. The record is from RNAcentral.
CAUUCUUUUCUCUACAGGUUGAUCAGAGCCAAAUCACCAAAACACGAACCUUGCCGGAGAGCCGCCGCACCCGAGAGCACCGCCGCCGGUAAGCUUCGGUUUUUCGUAAUUUUUUGGCCCCCCGAGGGCCCUGGGGUUGUUUUAUCGUAGGGACCGAUGCAAGUGUGGCCAAAUUCGGCCAAAAACGGCCGAAAACAGCUAACCUGAGGCGAAUCGCUGCUGCAAACGGUGACACCGUCGCCGGAGCACGGCGGAGCCGCCGUGCCGAAAUUGCUAUAUUGGCCGAAAGGGGCCCUGGGUCUUACUUGGGAUUUUUUUGGGACACGUGCAGGUACUAGUAGUGCGUUUCAGCUCCCCGGAAAAA